UAAUGAGGGAAGGAAAAGAAACUAACUAGGAUUUUCUUAGUAGCGGCGAGCGAAAAGAAAACAGUUCAGCACUGAGUUAUUUUAUUUUUAUAAUAAAUAUAAGAUGCAGUGUAUGGAAAUAUCAUUUAUCUAGUAUGAUAUAUUAAUAGUCUAAGUCCUUCUUAAAUGAGGCCAUUUACCCAUAGAGGGUGCCAGGCCCGUGACGACAUUAAUGAUUACUAGAUGAUAUUUCUUAAGAGUCGUGUUGCUUGAUAGUGCAGCACAAAUAUGGUGGUAAACUCCAUCUAAAACUAAAUAUAACCAUGAGACCGAUAGCAAACAAGUACCGUGAGGGAAAGUUGAAAAGAACUCUGAAUAGAGAGUUAAAUAGUACGUGAAACUGCUUAGAGGUUAAACCCGAUGAACCUAAAUAUCUAAUAUGAAAAAUUCAUCAUUAAUAAUGUAUUAUAAAUUUAUUUUAUAAUAUAACAAUAAUGUGCAAUUUUUUCAUAUAUAGACAUUGUAAUCUGUUAAUAUAUUAAAAUUUAUCAUAAGUAUACGUAUAUGAAUAGAUUAUAUUUAAUAUAAUAGUAAUAUUAUAUUUAUAUAAAAUUCAUUGAAAAUGCGUAAUACAGAUAAAUUAUUGACAGAUUUAUAUAUAUAUAUAACGCUAACAUUAUACAUGUUAUAAUAAUAUUAUAAUUAUAUAAUUAUAAUUUUUAUUAUAUGCGUUUAUAUGAUUAACAAUGCUAUAGAUUUAGGAUACCUUCGGGACCCGUCUUGAAACACGGACCAAGGAGUCUAACAUGUGUGCAAGUCAUUGGGUCGUAUUUAUAAUGUGAAAAAACUUGUUUUUUCAUAUAUAAAUAUUAUUAAAGUAAACCCAAAGGCGUAAUUAACUUAACUGUUAUAUAAUAUAUAUAAUGGGAUUAUAUAUGUAAAAUUUUUAAUUUUAUGUAUUCCAUCCCGGGGCGUUCUAUAUAGUUAUGUAUAUUAUAAUAAUUAUUUUUAAAGAUUUUUAUUAUAUAUACCUCUAACUGGAGCGUACCUUGAGCAUAUAUGUUGUGACCCGAAAGAUGGUGAACUAUACUAGAUCAGAUUGAAGUCAGGGGAAACCCUGAUGGAAGAUCGAAACAGUUCUGACGUGCAAAUCGAUUGUCAGAAUUUAGUAUAGGGGCGAAAGACCAAUCGAACCAUCUAGUAGCUGGUUCCUUCCGAAGUUUCCCUCAGGAUAGCUGGUGCAAUUAAAAAUGAUUAAAAAUAAUCUUAUCUGGUAAAGCGAAUGAUUAGAGGCAUUAGGGCCGAAACGGCCUUAACCUAUUCUCAAACUUUAAAUGGGUAAGAACCUUAUCUUUCUUGAUUAAUGAAGAUUAAGGUCAUGAUAUAUUGUGCCCAGUGGGCCACUUUUGGUAAGCAGAACUGGCGCUGUGGGAUGAACCAAACGUGAUGUUAAGGCGCCCAAAUUAACAACUCAUACUGAUACCAUGAAAGGCGUUACUUGCUUAAAACAGCAGGACGGUGGACAUGGAAGUCGUAAUCCGCUAAGGAGUGUGUAACAACUCACCUGCCGAAGCAACUAGCCCUUAAAAUGGAUGGCGCUCAAGUUGUAUGCCUAUACAUCACCAUUAAAAUAUAUGAUUUAUAUUCAUAUAAAUGAAUUAUAAAUUUUGAAAUUUUAAUGAGUAGGAAGGUACAAUGGUGUGCGUAGAAGUGUUUGGUGUAAACCUGCAUGGAGCCGCCAUUGGUACAGAUCUUGGUGGUAGUAGCAAAUAAUCGAAUGAGACCUUGGAGGACUGAAGUGGAGAAGGGUUUCGUGUGAACAGUGGUUGAUCACGAGUUAGUCGGUCCUAAGUUCAAGGCGAAAGCUGAAAAAUGAUAAGUUAUAUUAUUAAUAUAAAAAUAUAUAUAUACAUACUUAUUAUUAUUGAACGAAAGGGAAUACGGUUCCAAUUCCGUAACCUGUUGAGUAUACGUUUGUUUUUAAAAAUGGGCUUUAUAUGUGCUCAUCCUGGCAACAGAAAUGACCAUAAAGAAGCCGUCGAGAAAUAUCGAAAGAGUUUUCUUUUCUGUUUCAUAGUCGUAUUACCAUGGAAGUCUUUAGAAGAGAGAUAUGGUAAAUGGACUAGAAGAGCAUGGCAUUUACUGCUGUGUCGAUAUUUUCUCCUCGGACCUUGAAAAUUUAUGGCAGGGUCACGCAAACUUCUUAACAGGCCGUACCGAUAUCCGCAGCUGGUCUCCAAGGUGAAGAGUCUCUAGUCGAUAGAAUA
Molecule: ribosomal RNA, 2246 nt
Filed under: Emphysomera pallidapex
Lineage: Eukaryota; Metazoa; Arthropoda; Insecta; Diptera; Asilidae
Description: eukaryotic LSU rRNA
Rfam family: Eukaryotic large subunit ribosomal RNA
Source: RNAcentral